This is a non-coding RNA of Labrus bergylta (ballan wrasse), 1093 nucleotides long. The record is from RefSeq and is a predicted model, not a curated record. NCBI's taxonomy places the organism in Eukaryota, Metazoa, Chordata, Actinopteri, Labriformes, Labridae.
ACUCAUCAAGCCCUGCCUAUAAAGGAAGCAGGAAGUUAAGGGUUCCUUCUUUCAUCUUCAAGGCUGCACACAGCAGGCAGCAACAGAAAUUUUUCACUCCUUAUUCAAUCUGGUGAAGAAAUGAAAAGAGGAGUUUGUCUGACUGUCAACCUACGAGCACCAAACACGUGGAGGACUGUACACACACCUGUGGAGGAUGUAGAAGACCAUCUCUUUGCUUCCUGCACUGGCAGCGUGAUGACGUAACCUGCAGCCGGACGAGUCGAGUGACGUCAGGUCGGCUCCCUCCAGGUGGGGCUCCCUCCAGGUGGGGCUCCCUCCAGGUGGGGCUCCCUCCAGGUGGGGCUCCCUCCAGGUGGGGCUCCCUCCAGGUGGGGCUCCCUCCAGGUGGGGCUCCCUCCAGGUGGGGCUCCCUCCAGGUGCGGCUCCCUCCAGGUGCGGCUCCCUGCAGCUGAUGAUUCAAUUCAAAGACACAUGGGCAGCCUGACCAAAACAAGACGAAGAGCUGUUAACAUGUAUGCUACACCACGCUGCCUCACCUGCUUCCUUCAACAUUUGGUGUUUCCUCGCUCUGAACUGUGAAGAGUAGGAUCUGUGCUGCAGCUGGAAGGAUUUUCUUCAGAUUAAAGUUUACUUGAUAGCUGUUUUAGUUUCCUUUCAGUCAUAGUUUGUUGUUUUUAUCUUUCAGCUAUAGAUUUAGUUUAAAGUCUGUUUUCUUUAAUUUUCAUUUGCAGUUUUCUCUUAAAACACUGAUAACACAAUUUAAUAAUUUUAAAGUCUUAAUUUGUUUCAUGUUUGUGUUGUCAGCAUCUUCAAUUCCUAAUAGAUGUUUUGUUGUAGUUGUUUCCUUCUUUGUCACAAAGCUGUGACAUGUCUUCAUUUGAAGUUUGGAUUUUUUUUAUAAUAUUGAUAAAUUUCCAUUAGGAAACAUGCUUACUGGGUAGAUAACCAGACAAGUUUCCUCAGAACAAUGAAAGCUGUAAGCUACUAUAAAUAAAACACACCUGGCAGAUAACCAGAACAUAAUUACAGAAGUCACUGAUGCAGAGUGGACACAGCAGUAGUUUUAUUACAAUAAAAUAUUGAACAGCCA